RNAcentral lists this transfer RNA (66 nucleotides) under Holotrichia oblita. RNAcentral's name for it is "tRNA-Phe". The record is from RNAcentral. Lineage: Eukaryota; Metazoa; Arthropoda; Insecta; Coleoptera; Scarabaeidae.
AUUUAAGUAGCUUAUAUUUAGAGCGUGAUAGUGAAGUUAUCAUGGAAAUAGUGAUAUUCUUAAAUA